RNAcentral lists this transfer RNA (71 nucleotides) under Marmota monax (woodchuck). RNAcentral's name for it is "tRNA.Ala". It matches the Rfam family "tRNA". From Rfam's summary of the family: Transfer RNA (tRNA) molecules are approximately 80 nucleotides in length. Their secondary structure includes four short double-helical elements and three loops (D, anti-codon, and T loops). Further hydrogen bonds mediate the characteristic L-shaped molecular structure. tRNAs have two regions of fundamental functional importance: the anti-codon, which is responsible for specific mRNA codon recognition, and the 3' end, to which the tRNAs corresponding amino acid is attached (by aminoacyl-tRNA synthetases). tRNAs cope with the degeneracy of the genetic code in two manners: having more than one tRNA (with a specific anti-codon) for a particular amino acid; and 'wobble' base-pairing, i.e. permitting non-standard base-pairing at the 3rd anti-codon position. The record is from RNAcentral. Lineage: Eukaryota; Metazoa; Chordata; Mammalia; Rodentia; Sciuridae.
GGGGUUGUGGCUCAGUGGUAGGGUGCUUGCCUAGCAUACAUGAGGCACUGAGUUCAAUCCUCAGCACCACA